RNAcentral lists this long non-coding RNA (852 nucleotides) under Salmo salar (Atlantic salmon). Its description in RNAcentral is "lncRNA (ENSSSAG00000095507.1)". The record is from RNAcentral. Lineage: Eukaryota; Metazoa; Chordata; Actinopteri; Salmoniformes; Salmonidae.
CUGAUCUGGAGCAGAACUAUCAUCUGGAGCAGAACUAUCAACUGAUCUGGAGCAGAACUAUCAGCUGAUCUGGAGAAUAACUAUCAGCUGAUCUGGAGCAGAACUAUCAGCUAUUCUGGAGCAGAACUAUCAGCUGAUCUGGAGUAGAACUAUCAGCUGAUCUGGAGUAGAACUAUCAGCUGAUUUGGAGUAGAACUAUCAGCUGGAGCAGACUAUCAGCUGGAGCAGAACUAUCAGCUGAUCCGGAGUAGAACUAUCAGCUGAUCUGGAGCAGAACUAUCAGCUGAAGCAGAACUAUCAACUGAUCUGGAGCAGAACUAUCAGCCUGUCUGGAGAAGAACUAUCAGCUGAUCUGGAGCAGAACUAUCAGCUGAUCUGGAGAAGAACUAUCAGCUGAUCCGGAGUAGAACUAUCAGCUGAUCCGGAGCAGAACUAUCAACUGAUCCGGAGUAGAACUAUCAGCUGAUCUGGAGCAGAACUAUCAGCUGAAGCAGAACUAUCAACUGAUCUGGAGCAGAAUUAUCAGUUGAUCUGGAGAAGAACUAUCAACUGAUCUGGAGCAGAACUAUCAGCUGAUCUGGAGAAGAACUAUCAGCUGAUCUGGAGUAGAACUAUCAGCUGAUCUGGAGUAGAACUAUCAGCUGAUCCGGAGCAGAACUAUCAACUGAUCCGGAGUAGAAUUAUCAGCUGAUCUGGAGAAUAACUAUCAGCUGAUCUGGAGCAGAAAUAUCAGCUAUUCUGGAGCAGAACUAUCAGCUGAUCUGGAGUAGAACUAUCAGCUGAUUUGGAGUAGAACUAUCAGCUGCAGCAGACUAUCAGCUGGAGCAGACUAUCAGCUGGAGCAGACUAUCA